RNAcentral lists this unclassified non-coding RNA (170 nucleotides) under uncultured Myxotrichaceae. RNAcentral describes it as "sequence contains ITS1". The record is from RNAcentral. Lineage: Eukaryota; Fungi; Ascomycota; Leotiomycetes; Myxotrichaceae.
CAAGAGCUCGCGCCCGUCUGGGCGGAUCUCCCACCCGCUGUUAUCACUACAAUUGUUGCUUUGGCGGGCCGUCGGGCCCUGCCCGGCCGCCGGCCCCAGGCUGGUGCGUGCCCGCCAGAGGCCCCGUAGACUCUGAAUGUUAGUGUCGUCCGAGUACUGUACAAUAGUUA